AUAUGAAUCUUGAUUUAAUAUUGCCACGACGAUAUUUGAAUGAAAUCAAAAUAAUUAUGAGUAAUAACUUUUGAAUGAGAACACAAUAAAAUUACAAGUAAUAAUCAUUAGGACAUCAAAUAAUUACGUAUGAUCAUAGAAUAAACAACUAUCAAAAUCACAAAUAACUCCAAAGGGAUGUAGCAGCAUUCUUCUAAUACACAGUCCGAGAUUCCAAUCUCCUUCCACAAUUUAAUCCAACAUACUUAGUUGCCAGGUGGUGGAGAAAGGAAUGGGAUCGAGGGAAUUGUACUUGGAAUAGUGGGGAUUGAUGGGAUGCUUGGCAAUGGAGGCAAAGCAAACUUAGGAACACUAGGCAAGCUGGGAAGUGGAGGUAGUGUAGGCUUUGGUAGAGAUGGAUUUGUGGGUAAAGUGGGCUGCGGCAGAGUUGGGACACUAGGCAGUGGUGGCAAUGAAGGCUUUGGAAAAUUUGGCACUGAAGGUAAAGGUGGUAAUUGCUGAAGAUGACGAGCAGCUAAGCCAACUUCCAUGCUUGAAAAUGACAAAGCGACGAACAAUGCAGCAAAGGUCAAGCACUUGAAGGAAGCCAUGGCGUUCGUAGAUCUUAAAAGUGAACAAAAGAUAUUGUUGUUAUGUUUGGAAUGAGGGAAGGCAAGGUCAGGUUUGGGGAUUAUAUGGGAACCGAGCUAGGCUUUGGUAGGUGAUGUAGUUGGGGAAACUGUGAAAACCUAUCAAGCUCGUCUUGCUGGUUAGCUUAAUUUCCAGUUAAAAGUUGGUAAGUGUAGUUGAAGUAGUUGGCUAAAUCAGAAUAUUCUCAAUUGCAAGAAGGUCAAAAUAUGCAGAUUAGCAGAUAGAGAAAUGGAACAGACAAUGCCACCAAAAUAUAAAUUAAAAUCAUCAAAAUAAUUUCUUUAUGGGUUAUGAAGGAGUUUUUUCUGGAUUUUGGUUUUGUACCUCAGCCAGUCUUUUCAUCUAUUGGUACCCAACUCCUCUUUUGCUUGGCAAGUCCUUUCGGUGACAGUCCCUAUAUUGACUCUCCUAAUAAGCUUCUGUUCUUUGUUUUUUGGGCCUCAAGUCUUCUUUGUUGAGCUUGCAUUAGGUUUUCAGAAUUAUGUUUUAAGAUUCUAUUGUGCUGGGCCAAGAGCUUUUUUUAUAAAAUGAAUUGCAAUCUUCAAUAAAAAAAAAUUAUAAGAAUCUUCCCUUUUAUUAUUAUUCCUCCUAAAUAAUAUUUUCACUAAAACAUCCUAAUUAAUUUUAACUUUUAAUUCCUAAUAUUAAUACCACUAAUUAAGAAGUGGUGGAUUUAGCUUAGUGUAGUAUACUGGCAUAUUAUUAAACUUGAAAGGAUGAAAUUCAAUAAUUUCAUCAAUGUAAUACAGAAAACACAAGAAAACACACCGAUAACUGUCAGACUUUUUGCAUCCGAAGUGAGAUUGACUCUUGAAAGAAAAUAUAGAUUCAAAACUCAUUAGGCCCAUUAAAACAGAAAAUAUUGUAUACUCCAACUCGUAACUAAAGCAGGCUGGACUGACUCCAUGCUUAGAUCCAUAAAAAAAUAGUCUAAUUCAGUUAUAUAAUGGGAGGUAGGAGAGCAGAUCCAGCUAUUUCGCAGUCCUAUCAAUAUGCGCAUCGGGAGGGAAUUAAAUGGCCGAUUGACAGAGAGGAGUACGCUGAUACGUCCAUAUAUACGGGUCUGAGUGAUAGGGACAGGUGGCACUGUAACAAGAAAACACACCGAUAACUGUCAGACUUUUUGCAUCCGAAGUGAGAUCGACUCUUGGAAGAAAAUAUAGAUUCAAAACUCAUUAGACCCAUUAAAGCAGACAAUAUUGCAUACUCCAACUCGUAACAAAGCAGGCUGGACUGACCCAUGCUCAGGUCCAUAAAAAAAUAGUCUAAUUCAGUGAUAUAAUGGGAGGUAGGGGAGCAGACCCAACUAUUUCGCAGCCCUAUCAAUAAGCGCAUCGGGAGGGAAUUAAAUGAUCGACUGACAGGCUGAUACGUCCAUAUGUACAAGUCUGAGUGAUAGGGACAGGUGGCACUGUAACUUUAUGCGUCACUAAAAAAUAAAAAAAAAAAGAAUAAAGUGGGAGAGACGUGAUCUUACCAUACUAAACUUUAUGGAUACCUUUAUUUACAUAAAUUUAAAUUUCCUUUGAAUUAUAAAGGAUGAGAUUUACUUCUUAUAAGCGAGAACCCUAACCCUAUUAUUAUUGACUUUAAAGUGAAUGCUUUUGAUAUGGUGAACUGACUAGUAUUGAAUCAUCAUAAAAUGUAUAAUAUUAUAAAAAACAUGAAUUGAUUAAAGUUUAUUUAUAACAUCAAAAUUAUCUAUUAAAAAAAAUCAAAAUUAGAUAAUAAUUUUCUCAAAUAAUAAUCAUCAAAACACAAUAAAAUUACAAGUAAUAAUCAUUAGGACAUCAAAUAAUUACGUAUAAUCAUAGAAUCAAAUCAAACCCAUAAUGAAAUAAAUGACAAACAACUAUCAAAAUCACAAAUAACUCCAAAGGGAUGUAGCAGCAUUCUUCUAAUACAGAGUCCGAGAUUCCAAUCUUCUUCCACAAUUUAAUCCAACAUACUUAGUUGCCAGGUGGUGGAGAAAGGAAUGGGAUCGAGGGAAUUGUACUUGGAAUAGUGGGGAUUGAUGGGAUACUUGGCAAUGGAGGCAAAGCAACCUUAGGGACGCUAGGGAAGCUGGGAAGUGGAGGUAGUGUAGGCUUAGGUAAAGAUGGGUUUGUGGGUAAUGUGGGCUGUGGCAGAGUUGGGACACUAGGCAAUGGUGGUAAUGAAGGCUUUGGCAAAUUUGGCACUGAAGGCAAAGGUGGUAAUUGCUGAAGAUGACGAGCAGCUGAGCCAACAUCCAUGCUUGAAAAUGACAAAGAGACGAAAAAUGCAGCAAAGAUGAAGCACUUGAAAGAAGC
Molecule: long non-coding RNA, 2921 nt
Filed under: Manihot esculenta (cassava)
Lineage: Eukaryota; Viridiplantae; Streptophyta; Magnoliopsida; Malpighiales; Euphorbiaceae
Description: long non-coding RNA (MESC_LNC006154)
Source: RNAcentral